This is a long non-coding RNA of Psammomys obesus (fat sand rat), 425 nucleotides long. RefSeq lists it as uncharacterized. The transcript has 4 exons. The record is from RefSeq and is a predicted model, not a curated record. Lineage: Eukaryota; Metazoa; Chordata; Mammalia; Rodentia; Muridae.
CUUACUGUCCCCUUUAAACUUCACGUCAGAUUCCUGAGCGGCUUGCACGUGUUCACUUAAGAGAAAGACAAGUAUCCAGCAGCAGCAGCAUGGUGAGGUUAAUUGUCAUCAAACUCUCUCUUUGGUAACGAUAGCAUUUGCAACUGCUAACAAAACAAGCAUGGUCGAGCCCAGGUCGCCGGCAGUUUUGGUGUUGGCAGGAAUGUAUUGGGUGUAGAGGAGGCAGCAGGAAGACAUCGGUGAGGAGGCAGCAGGAAGACAUCCGUGAGGAGGCAGCAGGAAGACAUCGGUGAGGAGGCAGCAGGAAGACAUCGGUUCACGGGACUCUCAGAGACCACCAGGAGACAACUCGAUGCAAUUGCAAGAGAGCUUUAUUACGAAAGCGAUCGAACUCGGGACCCAAUUUGUUAGGCUUUUAACCACUU